Molecule: ribosomal RNA, 210 nt
Filed under: Segatella copri
Lineage: Bacteria; Pseudomonadati; Bacteroidota; Bacteroidia; Bacteroidales; Prevotellaceae
Description: partial 16S ribosomal RNA
Rfam family: Bacterial small subunit ribosomal RNA
Source: RNAcentral
ACAAUGGAGAGUUUGAUCCUGGCUCAGGAUGAACGCUAGCUACAGGCUUAACACAUGCAAGUCGAGGGGAAACGAUAUCGGAAGCUUGCUUCCGAUAGGCGUCGACCGGCGCACGGGUGAGUAACGCGUAUCCAACCUGCCCACCACUUGGGGAUAACCUUGCGAAAGUAAGACUAAUACCCAAUGACGUCUCUAGAAGACAUCUGAAAG